UUUCCGUAGGUGAGCCUGCGGAAGGAUCAUUCAUAAUAAAGUGUUUUAUGGCACUUUUUAAAAAUCCAUAUCCACCUUGUGUGCAAUGAUAGAUCUCGUCAAUCUUGGCGAGAUUUUUAUACAUCAACUCAUUCUUUAACUAAUUUGUCUGAAAAAUAUUAUGAAUACUUAAUUCAAAAUACAACUUUCAACAACGGAUCUCUUGGCUCUC
Molecule: unclassified non-coding RNA, 211 nt
Filed under: plant metagenome
Description: partial contains small subunit ribosomal RNA, internal transcribed spacer 1, and 5.8S ribosomal RNA
Source: RNAcentral